AUAGUUUCAUCAAUAUUACACAGUUUCAUCAUGGGUAGCAAGUUUCACAAAGUCAAAACAAAAACUAAAGACAAGCACUCCAUCAACCCAAGCUUCCGUGAUCUGAAGCAAAUCUACAAAAUGGGAAAGAAGAAAGUUAGAAGAAGAAGACUAGAAGAAGAAGAUUAUUAUGAUGCAACUAAAAUGUGAAGAUUAUUAUAAUGCAACUUAUAUCUGUAAAAUAGGUCAUUUUGGAGCUAAGUAUGGUUAUUAUGUUAUUUUUGAGCUAACUAAGCAUACUAAGUCAUUUUGGUGUAAAAAAUGCUAAGUUAUGUUGCACCAAAUUAAAGAUCAUUUGCAAUGUAAGCGCAUAUAUACUCUAAUUAUGUAUAUUGUUACCAUGCGCGGUACCGAUCGGAGAUCCUAGUGCUAAACUGGUAUUGAGCUCAAAUAGCUAUGCUCGUACACUGAACCCUAAACAUUACACUAUUUUUAUGGAUACUGAACCAGAGUGCUCUUUUCCCCAGAAACUUUAUUCAAAAUAAUCCAAAUUUAUGGUGAUUUCUGUGAGUACAGUUAUGUUUACAAUUAGUAAAAAGGUAGUGACAUGCCAAAUUGAGCCAAAAGCAAAAUGCGUUCGAUUUUUUUUGUCAAAAUUCCUCAAAAUGAUUGAAUUUCUGUGAAAUCCAGAAAACAAAACUUAAGAGCCCUGGGCUUAAAACAGGUUAUAUCGUGAAUGGCAUUAGUGUUUAAUCAUAUCUCUAACCUGAAUAUGGCUCUUAUUGCUUAAACUGAAGCUGCAGUUGUUCGACCAUUAGGCAAAGAGAUCAAUUACUUGUUGGCUCUCGCCUCUUAAUCCACCACAAAUUUCUGUCCUGUAGAAAGAACUUCCCUAUGCUGCAAAAUAAACAACAUGAGAUCAAUAUUUCAUACUGACAGUGAGAAACAACAAAUCAUUGGAUUGAUCAAACUUGUCCUGAAUCAAAAUAAACAACAAAUCAUUUUCGAUUCACUCACAAACUCCGCUAGGAACUAACCAUUAAACUUCCAAAUAUGUGGAGCAACUCAUCCUUUAUAUCGAUCUGAUAUUGAAGAAAG
This 1077-nucleotide long non-coding RNA is filed under the name Triticum aestivum (bread wheat). RNAcentral describes it as "long non-coding RNA (TAES_LNC002296)". The record is from RNAcentral. Lineage: Eukaryota; Viridiplantae; Streptophyta; Magnoliopsida; Poales; Poaceae.